This 253-nucleotide ribosomal RNA is filed under the name uncultured bacterium. RNAcentral's name for it is "partial 16S ribosomal RNA". It matches the Rfam family "Bacterial small subunit ribosomal RNA", at positions 524 to 776 of the family's 1533-position model. The record is from RNAcentral.
UACGAAGGUGGCAAGCGUUGUUCGGAUUCACUGGGCGUACAGGGAGCGUAGGCGGUUAGGUAAGCCCUCCGUGAAAUCUCCGGGCCUAACCCGGAAAGUGCAGAGGGGACUGCUUGGCUAGAGGAUGGGAGAGGAGCGCGGAAUUCCCGGUGUAGCGGUGAAAUGCGUAGAGAUCGGGAGGAAGGCAGGUGGCGAAGGCGGCGCUCUGGAACAUUUCUGACGCUGAGGCUCGAAAGCGUGGGGAGCAAACAGG